Molecule: RNA transcript, 7517 nt
Organism: Egretta garzetta (little egret)
Lineage: Eukaryota; Metazoa; Chordata; Aves; Pelecaniformes; Ardeidae
Gene: CDCA2
Gene name: cell division cycle associated 2
Exons: 15
Source: RefSeq, a predicted model, not a curated record
AGGCCUUGAGAAGGGAUCAUACCCCAACAAGGAGGAUGUUGAUGGCUGUCAGUUUACUGAAUGUUUUUUUGAUACACUCCAAGGGGAUAUGGUUGGUGAACCUACCUUGCCUUUGAACAGUAAGGAAAAUCUUUCAAGAAGUAGACCUGUUCCCUUGGGGGAUGAAUGCUACUUGACACCUAGUAGGGACAAAGCAGAAGAAAAAUCUGAUGGUGGAAUAUCAGAGAAACAGAGGAAAAAACCUGUUGAUUUUGCAACUGUAACAAUUGCUGAGUUUGGGAUUACUCAAGAAAGUUUUACUAAACGAUCUAUAGGGAAGUCUCCAACUUUGUUAAAAUUCAGACGAAGAUCAGCAAUUGGAGUACGGGGAUCACCAGAAAAUAACACCCUUAUUCAAUACAUUGCCCAACAGAGAAGCAAGAGGCAAAAAGAAGCUGUUACACAGCAGGUUAGUCCUUUUAAACAUGAAGAUGUCAGGCCAUUGAAGGACAAAAUAGAUGCCUUUCAAACAUCUUUUAAAUCAGUACAAAAAGCGGAAGGGGAAACUGGCUUCUCUGGACUGUCACAAGUGGAUGAUGCUUCCCAGGAAGCAGGCUCUUCUCAGAACAAAGUAUCUUUUACAAAGGAGUGGAACCUGGAUCAGUGGAGUGAAAAGUUCAUGUCAGACAACAGUGGAGCUGAUUUGAAAGAAAAUUUAAGACAAAAUUUGACCAACAGCAGCAAGUCUGAUACCAAGAUAUGCACAAUCUUGUCUUUACACCGAGAUGUGGCUAUCGCUGAACCUGUUGCUGCUGUUUCAAAGGAAUGGGCUUAUGAGCAACAGAAUCCUAUUGAGUCGGAGGCUGUUCUAACUAGAGAUAUCUUAGAAACAGGCCAUGAUUUAAGUUCUGACCACAUCACUAAAGACUUCGGAAGUAAUGUUGUAUUGGAUCUAAGCAGAAGGAAAGUUUAUUUUGCGGAAGAACCGAGCCUGGAAAUAUUUGAUGAAAGCAAGCCACCUGUCACGCCGCUGCAAACGGGAAAUAUUGCAUGGAAUGAACAUACACGGAGUGGCUCCCAUCUGCGAUCUGUAUUAAAGAAAACACCGGUGAAACAACUAAUUAAUAGCGUAAAGGAAUACUCGAACAAUGCAGCUGGCAGAGGAGGAGGUGAAUCUCUCACAGUUUCCAGUUGUUCAGAAAUCUCUGAAGCAUUGCAAACAGAGAAAACUGAGAGACAUAGCUCUGAAAAGGCAAAGAAGAAAAGAGUUACCUUUGGAGAAGUUCUAAGCCCAGAAAUAUUUGAUGAAACUUUGCCUGCAAAUACUCCAUUGCGCAAAGGAGCAACCCCAGUCCGUUAUCUGGGAUUACAAAGCAAUAGCCCUUUUGCAAGGUUAAGUCUCCUUGAAGAACCGCUAUCCCAGCCAAACUUUGAUUGCAGUGAUGAAUGUGUUGAACCUCUUCAAGAGUUAGUGGAGGGUUCUGUUGCUGCAGAAGACCUCUUUCCUGUUGAAAGUGCAGAAGAAACUGACAAAUCUGAUAUGAUAACAACUCGUUCUUCUACUAAAAGGAAGUGUAGCACCAUUUCAGGGGGGACUGAAGUUAACAUCUCAAGAGCCACAAAUGCUAAGAAUGCUAAAAAUACUAAAAAUCCAAGGAAGAACAAGUUUCAAAACCAAACAAAUAUAACCACGUCUGCUGCCAAGAAGACGCAAUCUUCUCCAUCUUUUCAGAAAACAAAACAUACAAGCUAUGGGAAAAGAAGAAAGAAAAAAGUAAAAAAAUCUUUAUAUGGGCAAAGAGAGAUGGCUUCUAAGAAACCUCUUCUCAGCCCUAUCCCUGAAAUUCCAGAGAUUUUCUUUUCUGCCUCGUCUCCAAACUCACCAGAGGCAGAUGCAUUUAUUUCGGAGGAUAUAUUUUUAGAUAAUACCAAAUCCAGGAAUGCUCACAAGGAUGUUCAACAGAAGCCAGUGGUUGAAAGAAUGGGAGCAGAAGACAUCUGUGCAGUUCAUAUGUAUUCAAGCUCUAAGGACCUGGACGCUGUGGAAGCCAGCACCUCCAGUGAUGCAGUGUUUCAGGUGUCAGAUGGUGAUCUGAAGUCUGUUUCUGACAUUCAUGAUAAGUUUUCAAACAUUGUGCCAGAUGCAAAGUGUGGUUUUGAUACAUCUGACUAUUUCCAGCAAGGUAAAGAGACUGCGUAUGUAAGAGAAGCAAAAGAAAGUCAUUCCGUGACAGAAAAUGAGAACUUACAAGGAAGUCUCCUAAAUAAGGCAGAGCAGAUAACCAGGCUAGAAUUUCUAGAACAACAGGACACUAAUGUACGUGAGGGUGUCCAAAGAACUUGGUGUCCACAAAAAGAUUCUAUAAGAGGUAGUCCACGAAGAAGAAGUAGUGCCAUCUAUUUUCCCCCUGUUGAAAAAUUGGAAAUAACUGGAAACCAUCUUCCAGUGUUUUCUUUUAAUGUGGAAGAAGUCUUGUCUGCUCCUCAGCUAAACAAUGACUCCUUAGAGCCUUUUGGAAAAAGGAGCGGUGGCAGUGGCAAAAAAUGUGUGAGACGCAGCAUGAGAUUUCAUAAAGAUGCAGAAACUGAAGGGCUUGCAUGGAUUCAAGUACCCAGUGAGAUUGAAAAGAACCCUCCCCUGCUACCUUCUGCUCGCAAAAUCAGAACAAUAAGCACAUCCAUCCUUACAGAAUCUGAGAAUAUUCACCACAGAGAACAAAAUCUCACUCAGUUUUCAGCACCAGGGAAGGAGAACAAUGACUCUGUUCAUCUUGGUGGUGGUUCUUGCAAAAAAUGGAGGAAGAAAAGCAUGUGUGUAUCUGCACCUCAAGAAACAAGAAUGUGGUCUCAGACCCGGAAAAGGAGCAUAACAAAUUCUGUAUAUAGGAAGGACAGAAGUAACCAAAAACACUCUGAAGAAGUAGAAAUACCUCUUGAAAGUAACUCUAACAUUUAGCGAGGUUUCAGCUACCUCUGAUUUUCUGAAGUGAAGGUCAGUAUUAGAUUCUUGUGUUCUCUCUUAAGUGCUGUUUUCUUCUCUGUCUCACUUAUAUUUCCUUACUUACUAUUUCCUUAUUCAUUUUCUGGAUAACUGAGAUCUGACUUUUGAUGUGUAAAAUGCUUGAAGAUCAGAACCAUGUGGAAGACCUAGCUUGGCUCAGAGCAUUGGUCUGGUUAAACAGUCAUGGCAGGUAAUCAAGAGGAUACAAAUUUUUUCUCCCAUGAUGAACUGAAUUUGACAUCUCCUCUAUUGCUUACAUGUUUUCAUAUUUUUAGUGCUGUCUAUAGAGCAAUAGCAAUUAAACACUGCUAAUGUUAAAAAACUCAAUAAGUGACCGACUUUCUCUGCAACACCAAGUUCAGUCAUUUCAAGAAGGCAAAGCCUAAUUUUUCUCAGCUCUAGGGGCCAGUGAAUUUUGUUGCAAGAUACAGCAGUAAGAAUAUACAACAUCUAAAUAAUGUUUAUGCAUACAUUUCUAUGCAUGUUACCACAGUCUGGGAUUUUCUUGUGUUUAGGUGAAUACGUUUACAGUUGUGGUACCUGCACAAAAAACCUGUGUGGGUUUAUUGCCCUUGAAACUUAGUCGUGACUGUUAGACUGGCUGUUUCUUGCUACGUUUGCUCUGCUCUCAAAUGCACAAUCAAUACAUGAAGUUGCUAAAGGGAGACGCGUCAGCAAACACGUGUGAGACUCGGCUGUUUAAGUAGAGAGGAAUGAAUUUGAUAGUUCAGAAGUAUGGUCUGACAAGUUACUCUUUAGAUGAUUGGGAGUUGAUACUAAUCCAUAUUUUGCUGAUCCCUAUUUUCAUUUUUUUGAAAGAAUGGGAUUCAAUCUUAAGAUUUUAUUAUAUUUUUGAAGUGUAAUUGAAGUAGAUAAAAGUGAAUUUGUCUGUAGUAGUUAAACCGUGAUGUUGUACAAUAUGCCCUUUCAGCUAGAAUUGCUUUAAGUGUUGAGGUUUUCCCUGUACUUGAUCAUUCCUUCUAAAUCGCUUUUGAAAUCUGCAUGAAUUUUCUUCCAGAUUUCAAAAAUAUCCUAAAAAAACCCCCUUGAGAUUCUCUGCAAAUAAGAAAGAAGUCACUUCUGGCUUUAAGGGGAGGAGUAGAAGGCGAGGAAGCUGUUACCAUCUUCUGAAAAUACUUUGCUUUACCUUCUGUGCACGAGUAGGGGUAGAGUUUCUAUAAGGAAAACUAAAUUUUGUGGUAGAGUUAAUGAAUUCUUCUCUGGUGUGAAGACAUCAUCGUUUUUUCCCAAGACAAGAACUCCUAAGGCAGCUUGAAAAGAAACUUCGCUACUUAAAUGCUGUUCAUCUUAUGCUACUUUAGAAACAUAACUGAAGUUAUCAAACCUGUCUCCCUGAUGUUUUAUUUUGGGGUUUGCUUUCGUGUCACAGUGAAAAUUUUAAGAUUUGCGAACAGAAAGGCAAUAGGUACUCAGGUUGAAUCUUCUUGUGCUAGCAGUAUAUUGGCUUACCAGGAGAGGGCAGUCUGACAUGAGGUUUUAUGGUUGUAACUGAAUAUGAAAAUAACAUCAUCAUGUACAAAAUCUUUGAAGAGGUGCUAGCUAAGGUUAAAAUCUAAAGCUCCUUGAGAUUAAAACUAAUAAUAGCUGCUACUUCUAACAUCAAAAAAAAAAUAUCAAAGCAGCAACUGAACUACACACCAAAAUUAAUCUGGAAAGCAAAUGCUUAUGCACUGUAUUGAGAUAUGACACUCUAUAUAGAAAUCACAUUGUCGUCUUAAACAGGCGCAGCUGAGCUGUUAGGGUUUACCUAACAGCUUUUAGAUAUGAAAUCUAGCAGUGUGAGGGGAACCUUUGGAGACUGUGGGCGUUGGAUACUGAAUACCAGACUUGAAUAGUCAGGUCAAGUAAAGAGUUGUCCUGGAGGAAGAGGCAAUAAACUAGUUUGUAUGAUACUAGAGGGCUGAAUGUAAAAUGCUGCCUAGAACAUGCUUUUUGUGAUGUUGCUGUCCUAUGCAUCAGUCACAGAAGCAAUAGAAGAGAAUUCUCCCUUGAGGUUUCUUGAGUGGAUAGGCGAAGUGCACUUUAAAUGUGAAGUGAAGUGUAAGUAAAGUCAGAAGUAGAAGAGCCGAGGGUAAGGAGAAGAAAACAAGGCUUGGAUUUUCCUCCUGGCACAGCUUGGUUGAAAAGGAUUGUUAGGAAUUAUAUGUAUAUGCUUGACAGCAAUUUGCAUGGCUUUAAUGAGAGUAAGGUUGGAACCUACAGGGAAAUGAAGAGGUUGCAGUUAACGGGGCUUAAUCUGGAGAGGACUUGAGAGGAGACAAGUCUUCAAUUAUGCAGAAGGUUGUUGUAAGUGGGGUGUGUGUGUAAUAAUCUGUUCUCCAUAUCUGUACUGAAUGGGACAAGAAAUAAUGUGUUUAAAUUAGAGAUAAAUGUCUCUGUUAAACAUUAAGAAUAAGUUCCAGCAGCAGAGAUAGUUGAGCACGGAAAUACAUUGCCUUGGGAAGUUGUGGAAUCUCCAUCACUGGAGUCUUUUAAGAACAGAUUAAACAAGUAUCUGUCAGGAAUGACAUAUGAUCCUUCCUAGGGGUAAGGAUAGGGCCUGGAUGGCCUCUUGAGGUCUCUUCUGGCUGUGUUUUCUGAUUGCUAGAGAUUAGGGUUGCAAGAGGUGAUUUGGGACUCGCCUGAUAGUUAAGACCUGAGAUAGAAUCUGUCAUGGAAUAGGGAGCCGGAGAAUCACUAACACUGGGGGCUGUUUAGCAUGGGAAGGAACUGGGGAAUCUGGGGGAAAGCCCUUCAUGCAAGGCUAACAAAAUGGUCUUAGUCCUUGAAACGCUCAGAUCUCAUGUGACUGCUCUUCCUCAGAAGAGCAUCUCUAGACUCCUGGAAUAGUCUAACCUACAAUUUGGUGGCCAUACCGUUAUGCAGGAAGUGUGAACAGCAGAGCAAACGAUGCUGUUCUAUUUUCAGAUUUACUUUUCUAAAAUUGAGUUAACAUAACCUCUGAAUGAUCACCAACUUUUCUGUCCCUAUUCAAUCAACAGAAGCAGUCACUUGUCUUCAUUGCCUUGUUGGGGGUGCAGGAAUUAAAAUUAAGGUAUAUCAUGUGUGAGUGCAGACAGGUCUCAAGUCAAGAUAGUCUGAGGUUCCAGUUUUCAGCUGUUAAUUGCAGCACUAUCUGGAAUAGAUUUUAGUAGUGUUCUGCCACAUUAGGUUAGCUUAGUCAUUUUAAUACUACCUGCACUUUUAUCUGCAACGAAGUCCUUGGACAGAAGAAUGCACAAAGCAGUGUAAAACUGAGUCAUGCUUUUGUUCCAUCAGUGAAGCAUCACCAGGCAGUAUGUUGGACUGGGGAGCCGGCUGGUGCAGUCUCCCAGAGCGAAGGCUAGCCUUUGUAGCCUUCCAUUUAAGUCACUGUUUUGACUUUUUUUGUGCAGUACUGAGCUCCCUGUCAGUCUGUAUUAUAGUGGCAUCUAAAGAAAUGUAUGGUGUCGGCCAGUCUUUCACCCUCUUCAUUUACUCUCCCUACUCUUCUAAAGGGAAGCUUUUUCUCUCUUGGGAGGGUUGUUACAAAGAUUACUUUGUUUAAAAGUACUUCACUAACGUUAAGUGCUGUAUUGUAGAGACUUUAAAUGGCUUCAAGCAUGGUAAUAGCUAGCACUAAGUGUAUAUUGCUGAAUAAUUGCAUUUAGCAGAUUGCUAUGUAAUUAUCAUGCUCUGACUGGCAUGGAGGAUAAGUGGUGGGUCCUAGAAAGACUGAUUAUUAUGCCACUCUGUAAUUAUGAUGUAGUUAAUAAGUAAGAGUAAUUACAUAUCACUUUUGCUUGCACUAUCCUAUGAAGUGCAGUCUUGAUACAUUUUCACAUAGCUGAGUAUCUGACAGCUAGCAGUAAGGAGUGUGUCACAGUUGGAAUGGGCUUUGCUUAAAUUUGCUUAAUGUUAGUGGCAGAAGGUACAAAGAAUGGCACUACUUAUACUUGAAUUCUUCAGAAAGUUUUAAAGGGGAAGUGUUAGUAUUUUCCAGGAACUAUUUAUGCCAAUAUUUUGCCAUAAUUAAGAUGCACUUAAGUUACAAAAGUGGAGACGAUAUGACCAAGUUUUCUCACAUGAGUUGAGAAGUAAAAUAGUUUUCUCAACCUGACGCUCAUGGUAAGCAGGGGAAAGAAAACAACAGGAAUAGUAUAUGCCUUUUUUUUUUUUUAAACUUUGAAAUAAUCAUUGUAAAUAAAGCUUCAUCUAGACUUCAGCUUAUUUUUCUCUACUUGCUUCUGACUAAUUGGGCAAUAGAAGGGGAUACUGGAACACCUAAGGGUUGCAUAUGAAUUUCACUAGUGUGCGUUCAUCUAGUCUAGCUGCUGUUUAGAAAUGCACUAACAUGUUUGUGCUCUACUCUUCUUCCUCACUCUGAAUCCUCUAGCACUCUUUUCAUUCACUUAGACCUGGAAAGACUUUAGUGAUGAACUGAUCUAUGCACAAGGAAGGAAACAGAAAAGCAUUGUUAGAUCUAUGUAUAAGGAAAUGGAGAGAGGGGGAAAAAAAAAAUCAGCCAUUGAAGUAUGCCAAGUAUAGCUUAAGCACA